AUCCAGCUGACGAGUCCCAAAUAGGACAAAACGCGCGUCAUGGAU
Molecule: non-coding RNA, 45 nt
Filed under: Schistosoma japonicum
Lineage: Eukaryota; Metazoa; Platyhelminthes; Trematoda; Strigeidida; Schistosomatidae
Source: RNAcentral